CUUAUCCAUUCAUAAAUUGAUGGGCACCUGGAUUGCUUCCAUGUUUUAGCUACUGUGAAUUAUGCUGCUACAAACGUGGGUGUACAAAUAUCACUUUGAGAUCCUGCUUUUAAUUAUUUUGAGUAUGUACCUAGAGGUGGAAUUGCCAGAUCAUAUGGUAUAUAUCCUUCUGUUUCUGACUUAUUUGA
Molecule: long non-coding RNA, 188 nt
Organism: Herpailurus yagouaroundi (jaguarundi)
Lineage: Eukaryota; Metazoa; Chordata; Mammalia; Carnivora; Felidae
Exons: 3
Source: RefSeq, a predicted model, not a curated record